Molecule: ribosomal RNA, 898 nt
Filed under: uncultured archaeon
Lineage: Archaea
Description: bacterial SSU rRNA
Rfam family: Archaeal small subunit ribosomal RNA
Source: RNAcentral
UUCCGGUUGAUCCCGCCGGACCCGACUGCUAUCAGAGUGGGACUGAGCCAUGUGAGUCGACGUAGCAAUGCGUGGCGAACGGCUCAGUAACACGUAGUCAACAUGCCCAGGGGACGUGGAUAACCUCGGGAAACUGAGAAUAAACCACGAUAGGUCACGAUUUCUGGAAUGGAUCAUGGCCUAAAUCUACAUGGCCCCUGGAUUGGACUGCGGCCGAUCAGGCUGUUGGUGAGGUAAUGGCCCACCAAACCUAUAACCGGUACGGGCUCUGAGAGGAGAAGCCCGGAGAUGGGCACUGAGACAAGGGCCCAGGCCCUAUGGGGCGCAGCAGGCGCGAAACCUCUGCAAUAGGCGAAAGCCUGACAGGGUUACUCUGAGUGAUUUCCGCUAAGGGGAUCUUUUGGCACCUCUAAAAAUGGUGCAGAAUAAGGGGUGGGCAAGUCUGGUGUCAGCCGCCGCGGUAAUACCAGCUCCUCGAGUGGUCGGGACGAUUAUUGGGCCUAAAGCACCCGUAGCCUGUUCUGUAAGUCCUCUGUUAAAUCCAGUCGCUCAACGGCUGGCCCGCAGAGGAUACUGCAAGACUAGGAGGCGGGAGAGGCGGACGGUACUCCGCGUGUAGGGGUAAAAUCCUUUGAUCCGCGGAAGACCACCAGUGGCGAAGGCGGUCCGCCAGAACGCGCUCGACGGUGAGGGGUGAAAGCUGGGGGAGCGAACCGGAUUAGAUACCCGGGUAGUCCCAGCCGUAAACGAUGCGAGCUAGAUGAUUCGAUCGCAGUUCGCGAUCGAAGUGUCGCAGGGAAGCCGUUAAGCUCGCCGCCUGGGGAGUACGGUCGCAAGGCUGAAUCGUAGAGCAGAUUUUCUGCCUACGCAGUUCACUUAAGGAAUUGGCGGGGGAGCC